Molecule: ribosomal RNA, 728 nt
Filed under: uncultured Planctomycetota bacterium
Lineage: Bacteria; Pseudomonadati; Planctomycetota
Description: bacterial SSU rRNA
Rfam family: Bacterial small subunit ribosomal RNA
Source: RNAcentral
GCUUGAGCACGUAGGUGGGUUUGUAAGUCAGGUGUGAAAGCNUUCUGUUCAACGGGAGAAUUGCAUCUGAAACUACGAAUCUUGAGUGUAGGAGGGGAGAAUGGAACUUCUGGUGGAGCGGUGAAAUGCGUAGAUAUCAGAAGGAACGCCGGCGGCGAAAGCGAUUCUCUGGCCUAUUACUGACACUCAGUGUGCGAAAGCUAGGGGAGCAAACGGGAUUAGAUACCCCGGUAGUCCUAGCCGUAAACGAUGGGCACUAAGUAGAGGGGAUUACCGACGUUCUCUCUGCCGUAGCUAACGCAUUAAGUGCCCCGCCUGGGGAGUACGGCCGCAAGGCUAAAACUCAAAAGAAUUGACGGGGGCUCGCACAAGCGGUGGAGCAUGUGGCUUAAUUCGAUGCAACGCGAAGAACCUUACCGGGGCUUGACAUGGUAGAAGUAGGAACCCGAAAGGGUAACGAACGGUAUCCAGUCCGUGACUAUCACAGGUGUUGCAUGGCUGUCGUCAGCUCGUGUCGUGAGACGUUGGGUUAAGUCCCCUAACGAGCGAAACCCUUGUUUUUAGUUACCAGCGGGUUAUGCCGGGUACUCUAGAAAGACUGCCGUCGUCAAGACGGAGGAAGGUGGGGAUGACGUCAAGUCAUCAUGGCCCUUAUGCCCCGGGCUGCACACGUGCUACAAUGGUCGGUACAAACGGAAGCGAAGCCGAGAGGUGAAGCGAAUCCAAGC